UACGGGGGAUGCAAGCGUUAUCCGGAUUUACUGGGUGUAAAGGGAGCGUAGACGGCGCGGCAAGUCUGAAGUGAAAGGCAGGGGCUUAACCCCUGAACUGCUUUGGAAACUGCCAUGCUAGAGUGCUGGAGAGGUAAGUGGAAUUCCUAGUGUAGCGGUGAAAUGCGUAGAUAUUGGGAGGAACACCAGUGGCGAAGGCGGUCUGCUGGACAGCAACUGACGGUGAGGCGCGAAAGCGUGGGGAGCAAACAGG
This 253-nucleotide ribosomal RNA is filed under the name uncultured Lachnospiraceae bacterium. RNAcentral's name for it is "partial 16S ribosomal RNA". It matches the Rfam family "Bacterial small subunit ribosomal RNA", at positions 524 to 776 of the family's 1533-position model. Lineage: Bacteria; Bacillati; Bacillota; Clostridia; Lachnospirales; Lachnospiraceae. The record is from RNAcentral.